AGUGAACGCUGGCUGUAGGCCUAACACAUUCAAGUCGAACGGCAGCACAGUAAGGGCUUGCUCUUACGGGUGGCGAGUUGCGGAUGUUUGAGAAAUUCAUCUGAAUCUACUUUCUCGUGGGGGUUCACGUAGGUAAACUUACGCUAAUACCUCAUACGACCUACGGGUGAAAGCAGGGGAUCUUCGCACCUUGCGCGAUUGAAUGAGCCGAUGUCGGAUUAGCUAGUUGGCGGGGUAAAGGCCCACCAAGGCGACGAUCCGUAGCUGGUCUGAGAGGAUGAUCAGCCACACUGGAACUGAGACACGGUCCAGACUCCUACGGGAGGCAGCAGUGGGGAAUAUUGGACAAUGGGCGCAAGCCUGAUCCAGCCAUACCGAGUGGGUGAAGAAGGUCUUCGGGUUGUAAAGCCCUUUUGUUGGGAAAGAAAAGCAGCAGGUUAAUCCCCCGCUGUCCUGACGGUACCCAAAGAAUAAGCACCGGCUAACUUCGUG
This 492-nucleotide ribosomal RNA is filed under the name uncultured bacterium. RNAcentral's name for it is "partial 16S ribosomal RNA". It matches the Rfam family "Bacterial small subunit ribosomal RNA", at positions 29 to 507 of the family's 1533-position model. The record is from RNAcentral.